GGCAUGCCUGUUCGAGCGUCAUUAUAACCAAUCACGCAAGUGGUAUUGGGGCUUGCCGUUGGCAUCCCUUAAAAUUAGUGGCAGUGCUAUAGGCUCUCAGCGCAGUAAUUAUUUCGCUCUUGAGUCCUAGAACCACCCGCCAAAACCCCAACUUUCUUAAGGUUGACCUCGGAUCAGGUAGGGAUACCCGCUGAACUUAA
This 200-nucleotide unclassified non-coding RNA is filed under the name soil metagenome. Its description in RNAcentral is "partial contains 5.8S ribosomal RNA, internal transcribed spacer 2, and large subunit ribosomal RNA". The record is from RNAcentral.